ACCAAAUAAAUAUUAGAUUUUUUCUUCAUCUUUUAUAGUUUAAAAUUCUUUGUAUUGAGUUAUAAUUUUGGGAAAAAAAUAUUCUCUUAGGUCUGAGUAUUUGUCACAGAGUAAUGGGAAAUGCAGCUCUGUCUCUACCUGUCCCCUGGAGCAUAGUGAGCACAGCCUGUCCUCUCUGGGCAGCCAGGUUUGUCUGUGACGACCGGUCUCCAUAGCCAGACUGUCCUCUCUGGGCAGCCAGGUUUGUCUGUGACGACAGGUCUCCAUAGCCAGACUGUCCUCUCUGGGCAGCCAGGUUUGUCUGUGACGACCGGUCUCCAUAGCCAGACUGUCCUCUCUGGGCAGCCAGGUUUGUCUGUGACGACCGGUCUCCAUAGCCAGACUGUCCUCUCUGGGCAGCCAGGUUUGUCUGUGACGACUGGUCUCCAUAGCCAGACUGUCCUCUCUGGGCAGCCAGGUUUGUCUGUGACGACUGGUCUCCAUAGCCAGACUGUCCUCUCUGGGCAGCCAGGUUUGUCUGUGACGACCGGUCUCCAUAGCCAGACUGUCCUCUCUGGGCAGCCAGGUUUGUCUGUGACGACCGGUCUCCAUAGCCAGACUGUCCUCUCUGGGCAGCCAGGUUUGUCUGUGACGACAGGUCUCCAUAGCCAGACUGUCCUCUCUGGGCAGCCAGGUUUGUCUGUGACGACCGGUCUCCAUAGCCAGACUGUCCUCUCUGGGCAGCCAGGUUUGUCUGUGACGACCGGUCUCCAUAGCCAGACUGUCCUCUCUGGGCAGCCAGGUUUGUCUGUGACGACCGGUCUCCAUAGCCAGACUGUCCUCUCUGGGCAGCCAGGUUUGUCUGUGACGACCGGUCUCCAUAGCCAGACUGUCCUCUCUGGGCAGCCAGGUUUUUCUGUGACGACAGGUCUCCAUAGCCAGACUGUCCUCUCUGGGCAGCCAGGUUUGUCUGUGACGACCGGUCUCCAUAGCCAGACUUUCCUCUCUGGGCAGCCAGGUUUGUCUGUGACGACAGGUCUCCAUAGCCAGACUGUCCUCACUGGGCAGCCAGGUUUGUCUGUGACGACCGGUCUCUAUAGCCAGACUGUCCUCACUGGGCAGCCAGGUUUGUCUGUGACGACAGGUCUCCAUAGCCAGACUGUCCUCUCUGGGCAGCCAGGUUUGUCUGUGACGACCGGUCUCCAUA
Long non-coding RNA from Oncorhynchus keta (chum salmon), 1186 nucleotides. RefSeq lists it as uncharacterized. NCBI's taxonomy places the organism in Eukaryota, Metazoa, Chordata, Actinopteri, Salmoniformes, Salmonidae. The record is from RefSeq and is a predicted model, not a curated record. The transcript has 3 exons.